Molecule: ribosomal RNA, 465 nt
Filed under: uncultured bacterium
Lineage: Bacteria
Description: partial 16S ribosomal RNA
Rfam family: Bacterial small subunit ribosomal RNA
Source: RNAcentral
CUACGGGUUGCUGCAGUGGGGAAUAUUGGACAAUGGGGGAAACCCUGAUCCAGCAAUGCCGCGUGUGUGAAGAAGGCCUGCGGGUUGUAAAGCACUUUCGGUUGGGAGGACUGCUUCUAGCACUAAUAUUGUUGGAAGUUGACGUUACCUUCAGAAGAAGCACCGGCUAACUCCGUGCCAGCAGCCGCGGUAAUACGGAGGGUGCAAACGUUAAUCGGAAUUACUGGGCGUAAAGCGCGCGUAGGCGGCGAGAUCAGUCGGGUGUGAAAGCCCCGGGCUUAACCUGGGAACUGCAUCCGAUACUGUCUAGCUUGAGUACAGGAGAGGAGAGUGGAAUUCCACAUGUAGCGGUGAAAUGCGUAGAUAUGUGGAGGAACACCAAUGGCGAAGGCAGCUCUCUGGCCUGAUACUGACGCUGAGGUGCGAAAGCGUGGGGAGCAAACAGGAUUAGAUACCCGCGUAGUC